Molecule: ribosomal RNA, 248 nt
Filed under: uncultured bacterium
Lineage: Bacteria
Description: partial 16S ribosomal RNA
Rfam family: Bacterial small subunit ribosomal RNA
Source: RNAcentral
AGUAACACGUGAGCAACCUGCCUUUCAGUGGGGGACAACAUUUGGAAACGAAUGCUAAUACCGCAUAAGACCACAGUGUCGCAUGGCACAGGGGUCAAAGGAUUUAUCCGCUGAAAGAUGGGCUCGCGUCCGAUUAGCUAGAUGGUGAGGUAACGGCCCACCAUGGCGACGAUCGGUAGCCGGACUGAGAGGUUGAACGGCCACAUUGGGACUGAGACACGGCCCAGACUCCUACGGGAGGCAGCAUG